CACGUAGGGGGCAAGCGUUGUUCGGAAUUAUUGGGUGUAAAGGGCAUGUAGGCGGUUGUGCAAGCCUGGUGUGAAAAACCUCAGCUUAACUGAGGGGGCGCGCUGGGAACUGCAUGACUAGAGUUCGUAAGGGGAAGCUGGAAUUCCUGGUGUAGGGGUGAAAUCUGUAGAGAUCAGGAAGAACACCAAUGGCGUAGGCAAGCUUCUAGUACUGAACUGACGCUGAGAUGCGAAAGUGCGGGGAG
This 245-nucleotide ribosomal RNA is filed under the name uncultured bacterium. RNAcentral describes it as "partial 16S ribosomal RNA". It matches the Rfam family "Bacterial small subunit ribosomal RNA", at positions 524 to 768 of the family's 1533-position model. The record is from RNAcentral.